RNAcentral lists this long non-coding RNA (1939 nucleotides) under Mytilus galloprovincialis (Mediterranean mussel). The record is from RNAcentral. Lineage: Eukaryota; Metazoa; Mollusca; Bivalvia; Mytilida; Mytilidae.
AUAAUUUUUCGUUGUUUAAACUUGUUUGAUGUACUUAAGCAUUAUUAUGUGCCCAAGAAUUUUUUCAAAUGCAUUUUUUCCCAAAUUGUAAAUGUAUUUCCAAAAACUCAACAACUGGACACAUUGAUUCCCCUUUCGACAACAUAUCUUACUUUCAUGAAAAUAAUUAUUCAGCAAAUGCACAAUGUCCCCUUUGUUAAUGUUAAAUUAAAUUGAACUCAAAAAGCAAGCGAUGGAGUAUCGUAUAGUAACAAAAGUUACCAAAGGUACCAGGAAUUUAACUUAAUACGCCAGACGCGCGUUUUGUCUUCAUAAGACUCACCGGUGACGCUCAGAUCAAAAUAGUUAUAAAGCCAAACAAGUACAAAGUUGAAGAGCAUUGAGGACCCUAAACUCAGAAAAUUCUUAGUUUUUCGAAAAAUUUUGGCAAACAGAAAUUUAUUAAAAUGACCAUAUAAUUGAUAUUCAUGUCAUUCGAAGUGCUGACUACUAGACUGGUGAUACCCUCGGGGACAGAACAUCCACCUGGAUGACUAAAUUAAACUCAUUUAUCAAUAUGAUGUUACUUACAGAAGCCAAUGCAGGAUUUCCCUUUAGAAGAGGAUAUAUUAAGGCAACAGUAGUAUACCGCUGUUCAAAACUCGUAAAUCCAUGGACAAAAAAACCCAGAGAAACUAAAAGAUCUUAUGGCAGAGGGGUAAGUAUGUUUUGUUCGUAUCUUUUUAAGGUCAGGAUUGAAAAAACUGUUCUUUCGUGUUAAUUAAUUUUGUAUAUAUAUCAGCUUAUUUAGACAGGAAAUUGCCUUUUCUGUUAAGAGACACAAGCAUUUAACAUAAUCUUAAUUUUUAGAAAGAACUAAUAUAUUGUUGGAAAUAUUAAAACAAUAUUAAAAAGCUGGUGAAAUAUAACAAGUGACAGACCAAAACUAUUAUUCUUGAAAAAAAACCGGAUCUGUUCUGUGUUCUCAUUUUAUUAAUUGCAUUGGAUUAGUUAUUAAGAUAAGAUUUUUCCAACAAAGUGAUUACGACAUAAUGUAAAAGUAAAAUAUUUUUUUGCAUAUCAUAUUGAUACAGUUAAUAUAGGAGAUAUGUUAUUUUAGAACGAUACAUUAAUUUUAUAAAAAGGCAGACACACGAAAUCGUAAAAAUAAUUAGAAAUAGACUAGUAAAUGAUGUUAAAUUUGAGAGUGGUCAUAUUUUAUCUUUAGAAACAAUUAAAGAUACAUAACAAACAUUAUCAUUCUGCAAGUAUAUUCACAGGAAAUAUAUUCUUACAUGAAAAGGCUAUCAUAAACAUAUUUAUUUAAAAGUUUGUUAUAUAGUAAUGUAUCGCUACAAGGCUAAUUCAAUACAAAAUGUACGUCAAGUAAUUUAACAACAUUGUAUUUAGAGGGGGCAACAGGAGAAUCCCUUUAUAUAAAUCUUCUACCUAAAGGUGUAAACGUGAAUCGAUGAUAGCCUCAUCCAAUCAAAUUGAUCUUAAAAAUAUUUCUUUUUAUUUCGACCAAUCGAUAAUAACCCUUACGUUUUUACUAGAAUAACGAAAAGUAUGUAUUAGCUUAAUCAUCUAAUUAUCGUAUCUCAAAAAGUCGAUAAAUAUGGCUUCAAGGUUAGGCAUCAUACAUUAGUAUUUGCCUGAUUAAAGAAGGGAUGGCUAAACAUAGAAUUGUAGAUACAUAGAAAUUUCAUUUCCUGAAAUAGACAAUGGGAAAUUGUCGAAUAGAAACUUGAAAUAAAUAUGACCGAAUGAAACUUGUUAUGUGUAUAACUAAAAUACAUAAAUAACUUUAUAAGACAUUUAAACAUGAUCAAUUCAUAUAUUUCAAUCAAUAGACAUUUCUACAAACAAACUUUUAUUUAUUUUUUUCAGGGUAAAAAUUACGGUUAUCUUGAAGGAGGUUACGUAGGUAGAUCUGGAUGAUACUUAGAAAACAUGGAAC